RNAcentral lists this long non-coding RNA (386 nucleotides) under Selaginella moellendorffii. RNAcentral's name for it is "long non-coding RNA (SMOE_LNC002070)". The record is from RNAcentral. Lineage: Eukaryota; Viridiplantae; Streptophyta; Lycopodiopsida; Selaginellales; Selaginellaceae.
ACCAAGCAGCAGUGGAGGGAGAUCCAAGCCUCAGCCUUUGGCACUUGGAAGAGGUGCUAGAGGUUGCGGCCUCAACAUCUGAUUGCCCCAAGGAGGGAUGCUGAAGGGAAGAGCUGCCAACAACAAAACCCCAAUUGGAAGGAGGGCUUCGCUAGGUUCUUUAAUGGACAAUGAGAAGCUCAGCUUGAGUGGCACGGUAGGAAGUAGUGAGCACACAGUCAGUGAUCGAGCAGGCUUGAGGCAGAAAUCACAUCACACAGAAAGUGAUGUGCUCAUGGAGUGCGCGGCCAAGGAUCUCCAUAAAGAGGUCGUGCAAGGAAUGAGAGAGAUGAUGGACAGGGCUCAGCCACUCGUAAGCUCCUUGCUGAACUUGCAGACACAGGUUC